RNAcentral lists this transfer RNA (72 nucleotides) under Bos taurus (domestic cattle). It matches the Rfam family "tRNA". Rfam says of the family: Transfer RNA (tRNA) molecules are approximately 80 nucleotides in length. Their secondary structure includes four short double-helical elements and three loops (D, anti-codon, and T loops). The record is from Rfam by way of RNAcentral. RNAcentral also lists the same sequence under 5 other names. Lineage: Eukaryota; Metazoa; Chordata; Mammalia; Artiodactyla; Bovidae.
UCCCUGGUGGCUCAGUGGUGGAGAAUCUGCCUGCCAGUGCAGGAGACUCAGGUUCGAUCCCUGGGUGGGGAU